CAUGCAAGUAUCUGCCAACCAGUGAAAAUGCCCUCAUACUCGUCCACUAUAAACGAUCCCAAAGGAGCCGAUAUCAAGCACACCAAUGGUAGCUCAAGACAUCUUGCUCAGCCACACCCCCACGGGAUACAGCAGUAGCAAAAAUUAAGCAAUAAACGAAAGUUUGACUAAGUUAUACUGAUUAGGGUUGGUCAAUCUCGUGCCAGCCACCGCGGUCAUACGAUUGACCCAAAUUAAUAAUUAAACGGCGUAAAGUGUGGUUAAACAUUCACCAAUAUAAUAAAGUUAAACUAGCUCUCAGCUGUAAAAAGCUAAAGAUCUAUGGUAAAUAGACUAUUAAUGUAACUUUACUUGUAGUGAACCCACGAUAGCUAAGAUACAAACUGGGAUUAGAUACCCCACUAUGCUUAGCCGUAAACUUUGAUAAUUAUUAACAAAAAUAUCCGCCAGAGAACUACAAGCCACUGCUUAAAACUCAAAGGACUUGGCGGUGCUUUAUACCCCCUAGAGGAGCCUGUUGCGUAAUCGAUAAACCCCGAUAAACCCCACCAUCACUUGCUAAAUCAGUCUAUAUACCGCCAUCUUCAGCAAACCCUUAUAAGGAAUAAUAGUAAGCUCAAACGCACCCGCAAAAACGUUAGGUCAAGGUGUAACCUAUGUGAUGGAAAACAAUGGGCUACAUUUUCUGCAUAAGAACACACGGACUCACAUAUGAAAUUAUCAGAUAAAGGAGGAUUUAGAAGUAAGCCAGGAAUAGAGAGCCUGGCUGAAUUUGGCUAUGAAGCACGCACACACCGCCCGUCACCCUCCUCAAGUGUUUAAGACUAAUAACCCUAUUACACUAAUACAAACAUAAGAGGAGACAAGUCGUAACAAGGUAAGCAUACUGGAAAGUGUGCUUGGAAUAUUCAAAGUGUAGCUUAACUAAAGCACCUGGCCUACACCCAGGAGAUUUCAUUAUUAUGACCGCUUUGAACUAGACCUAGCCCACUCCCCACCAAACUAAACUACAUUCUAACCCUUAAAUAAAACAUUCACUUAAUAUAGUAUAGGAGAUAGAAAUAUUACUCAGGAGCAAUAGAGAUAGUACCGUAAGGGAAAGAUGAAAGACUUCUAAAAGUAAAAAACAGCAGAGAUAACCCCUCCUACCUUUUGCAUAAUGGAUUAGCUAGAAAACAGUUGACAAAAAGAUCUUAUAAGCCAACACCCCCGAAACCAGACGAGCUACUCAUGAACAAUUGUCAGAAUGCACUCUUCUAUGUGGCAAAAUAGUGAGAUGAUUUAUGAGUAGAGGUGAAAAGCCAACCGAGCCUGGAGAUAGCUGGUUGUCCAAAAAAAGAAUCUAAGUUCAUCCUAAAGCACUACCUGUAAAACUAUAAAUUGUAAUGUAAGCUUUAGAGAAAUUCAAUAGGGGGACAGCUCUAUUGAAAAGGAUACAACCUAUAAAGGAGAGUAAGAAGUAUAAGUUUACAUAGUUGGCCUAAAAGCAGCCAUCAAUUAAGAAAGCGUUAAAGCUCAAAUUAUCUUACUACUAUUAAUCCCAAUAAUAAUUACCAAUCUCCCUUACCUAAUAUUGGACUAUUCUAUUAUAAAAUAGAAGAAAUAAUGCUAGUAUGAGUAACAAGAAUUAUUUCUCCGCGCGCAAGCUUAUAUCAGAACGGAUGCCCACUGAUAGUUAACGAUCUAACAGUUAUAAUCCACACAUAAACCCCCUAUUUAGCCUAAUCGUUAACCCGACACAGGAGCGCGGCACGGAAAGAUUAAAAGAAAGAGAAGGAACUCGGCAAACACUAACUCCGCCUGUUUACCAAAAACAUCACCUCUAGCAUUACUAGUAUUAGAGGCACUGCCUGCCCAGUGACAUUAGUUAAACGGCCGCGGUACUCUGACCGUGCAAAGGUAGCAUAAUCAUUUGUUCUUUAAUUAAGGACUUGUAUGAAUGGCAAGACGAGAGUUCAACUGUCUCCUCAUUCCAAUCAGUGAAAUUGACCUCUCCGUGAAGAGGCGGAGAUAGAGUUAUAAGACGAGAAGACCCUAUGGAGCUUUAAU
RNAcentral lists this non-coding RNA (2049 nucleotides) under Elephantulus brachyrhynchus (short-snouted elephant shrew). Its description in RNAcentral is "partial contains 12S ribosomal RNA, tRNA-Val (trnV), and 16S ribosomal RNA". The stretch from base 1052 to 2049 matches the Rfam family "Bacterial large subunit ribosomal RNA", at positions 1 to 2105 of the family's 2925-position model. Lineage: Eukaryota; Metazoa; Chordata; Mammalia; Macroscelidea; Macroscelididae. The record is from RNAcentral.